RNAcentral lists this ribosomal RNA (467 nucleotides) under uncultured bacterium. Its description in RNAcentral is "partial 16S ribosomal RNA". It matches the Rfam family "Bacterial small subunit ribosomal RNA", at positions 29 to 507 of the family's 1533-position model. The record is from RNAcentral.
ACGAACGCUGGCGGCGUGCUUAACACAUGCCAGUCGAACGGAAAGGCCCUGCUUUUGUGGGGUGCUCGAGUGGCGAACGGGUGAGUAACACGUGAGUAACCUGCCCUUGACUUUGGGAUAACUUCAGGAAACUGGGGCUAAUACCGGAUAGGAGCUCCUGCUGCAUGGUGGGGGUUGGAAAGUUUCGGCGGUUGGGGAUGGACUCGCGGCUUAUCAGCUUGUUGGUGGGGUAGUGGCUUACCAAGGCUUUGACGGGUAGCCGGCCUGAGAGGGUGACCGGCCACAUUGGGACUGAGAUACGGCCCAGACUCCUACGGGAGGCAGCAGUGGAGAAUAUUGCACAAUGGGCGGAAGCCUGAUGCAGCAACGCCGCGUGCGGGAUGACGGCCUUCGGGUUGUAAACCGCUUUCGCCUGUGACGAAGCGUGAGUGACGGUAAUGGGUAAAGAAGCACCGGCUAACUACGUG